UGGGGAAUAUUGCACAAUGGGGGGAACCCUGAUGCAGCGACGCCGCGUGGAGGAAGAAGGUCUUCGGAUUGUAAACUCCUGUUGUUGGGGAAGAUAAUGACGGUACCCAACAAGGAAGUGACGGCUAACUACGUGCCAGCAGCCGCGGUAAAACGUAGGUCACAAGCGUUGUCCGGAAUUACUGGGUGUAAAGGGAGCGCAGGCGGGAAGACAAGUUGGAAGUGAAAUCUAUGGGCUCAACCCAUAAACUGCUUUCAAAACUGUUUUUCUUGAGUAGUGCAGAGGUAGGCGGAAUUCCCGGUGUAGCGGUGGAAUGCGUAGAUAUCGGGAGGAACACCAGUGGCGAAGGCGGCCUACUGGGCACCAACUGACGCUGAGGCUCGAAAGUGUGGGUAGCAAACAGGAUUAGAUACCCUGGUAGUCCACACCGUAAACGAUGAUUACUAGGUGUUGGAGGAUUGACCCCUUCAGUGCCGCAGUUAACACAAUAAGUAAUCCACCUGGGGAGUACGACCGCAAGGUUGAAACUCAAAGGAAUUGACGGGGGCCCGCACAAGCAGUGGAGUAUGUGGUUUAAUUCGACGCAACGCGAAGAACCUUACCAAGUCUUGACAUCCCUUGACAGACAUAGAAAUAUGUAAUCUCUUCGGAGCAAGGAGACAGGUGGUGCAUGGUUGUCGUCAGCUCGUGUCGUGAGAUGUUGGGUUAAGUCCCGCAACGAGCGCAACCCUUAUGGUCAGUUACUACGCAAGAGGACUCUGGCCAGACUGCCGUUGACAAAACGGAGGAAGGUGGGGAUGACGUCAAAUCAUCAUGCCCUUUAUGACUUGGGCUACACACGUACUACAAUGGCGUUAAACAAAGAGAAGCAAGACCGCGAGGUGGAGCAAAACUCAGAAACAACGUCCCAGUUCGGACUGCAGGCUGCAACUCGCCUGCACGAAGUCGGAAUUGCUAGUAAUCGUGGAUCAGCAUGCCACGGUGAAUACGUUCCC
Molecule: ribosomal RNA, 995 nt
Filed under: uncultured bacterium
Lineage: Bacteria
Description: bacterial SSU rRNA
Rfam family: Bacterial small subunit ribosomal RNA
Source: RNAcentral